AUCUUAUUCCGAGCAUUCCAGUAACUUUUUUUGUGUAUGUACUUAGCUGUACUAUAAGUAGUUGGUUUGUAUGAGAUGGUUAAAAA
RNAcentral lists this microRNA precursor (86 nucleotides) under Canis lupus familiaris (dog). Its description in RNAcentral is "miRNA (ENSCAFG00845024202.1)". It matches the Rfam family "mir-1244 microRNA precursor family". The record is from RNAcentral. RNAcentral also lists the same sequence under 2 other names. Lineage: Eukaryota; Metazoa; Chordata; Mammalia; Carnivora; Canidae.